This 253-nucleotide ribosomal RNA is filed under the name uncultured bacterium. Its description in RNAcentral is "partial 16S ribosomal RNA". It matches the Rfam family "Bacterial small subunit ribosomal RNA", at positions 524 to 776 of the family's 1533-position model. The record is from RNAcentral.
UACGUAGGGUGCAGGCGUUAAUCGGAAUUACUGGGCGUAAAGCGUGCGCAGGCGGUGAUGUAAGACAGGUGUGAAAUCCCCGGGCUUAACCUGGGAACUGCAUUUGUGACUGCAUCGCUGGAGUGCGGCAGAGGGGGAUGGAAUUCCGCGUGUAGCAGUGAAAUGCGUAGAUAUGCGGAGGAACACCGAUGGCGAAGGCAAUCCCCUGGGCCUGCACUGACGCUCAUGCACGAAAGCGUGGGGAGCAAACAGG